Molecule: long non-coding RNA, 2673 nt
Organism: Bactrocera oleae (olive fruit fly)
Lineage: Eukaryota; Metazoa; Arthropoda; Insecta; Diptera; Tephritidae
Source: RefSeq, a predicted model, not a curated record
GAAAAUUUUGGAAAUAAAAUAAUCAGUCUUAUUGUAAACAUGGGAAAAAUCUCUCAUAUUCGAAAAUUUCAUAAAAUUGUUAGUUGGGAAAAACUAUCAAUAAAGUGUGAGCAUACUGUAAUAACUAAGUAUUUAUUUGAUUUUAAAAACUUCUUUAUAUGAUCUAAGGCCUAUUAACAAUAUACAGCUGACUUUUUUGGUCAACAGUAAGCCGAAAAUCUGAUAUAGGGAAAGUUUUAAAAAAUAAAAUUACUAGAAAGUACACGUAUUUUGAAUGAAGUUACAUAAUUCUUUCAAUAGCAAGAAGCCACCAUCGAAAUCGAUUUCAGAAUGAAAAAAGGUGACCAUCGAGUUUCAAGUUGCUACCCAAUUUCGGGACAUUCACGAAAUUUUUUUUUUAAUCCAUUAUUCAUUUAUAAUUAUUUUAAAACAAUAAUAGCAGUAGAAAAAGGAGAUUUAUAUAGCCGUAUACGUUAUGAGAAAUCAGCCUACAAGAAACAUAUUCAGAAUUAUUAUUAAUUGAAAAUUUCUGCAGAGAACGUAUAUCAUCGAGAAUGUUUACCGUGCGGCCAUUAUCAAAAUAUUUCACUUUUCGAAGGGGAACUGAAAACGAUGAGCGUGUUUCACCACGGAAAGUUAUUAGCGUUUUUCAUUACAAUUAUAUGAGAAAAAAUGCUAAUGCCAAUGUUAAGAAUAUACGCUCACAGAUUCGUUUGUUUACAAUGCGCAAACGACUGCAUAUAAUUUAUAGAUAAUCUGUAUAUAUUUGAUAUCACAGCACAUAAGUAUAUACACAUACGUAAGUUCAAAUUGACCUAUGGCAGGCACCUUGCCGUGGUGCAGGGACUUGAAGUCGCGAGGCAUUCUCGGCAUCUCCCAACCGGGGUGAGGAGUGUUGACUAGCGCCUUUUACACGGGUUAGCCGAAGCCGCAUACAUACAUUUGGUGGUCGCUGAACGGAUCCUUCCCAACACCGCGCCGCAUUGGGAAGAAACGGUGGCCGGACAUUGUGUUCCUCUGAACAAACGCUGACCCGACGACUCGCCUUGUCGAGCCUAAGGUAGUAUGUACAAGUGGAAACAACAACAACCAACGGAUCAAGGCAACAACAACAGCGAACGGACACGGACAAAGAUGAUAACACCAGCAACAGCGCAGGAAAGGGUGACUCAGGGACUUACCGAAAGUUCAGCUUCCCGGAUUCCCUUUAAUUAGAAGAGCGAGCGCUAUUCGGGGAGCAUGCAAGAGACGAUGACGACGACAUGCCCUCGUGCAGCGGCGCUCAGCAGGCGAGAUUGUCUGCGGCCGGUGCUGAUAAAGCGAACCCCAUCGAGGCUCCCUCGAGCAGGAUCAACUGCUCGGCUGCCUCAAAACUACCCGGCGAAGAUGCUGGGGUCGGAGGAGUUCACCGUGCUCCAAGACCUACUCAUGGAGGAGGUAUUCAGAGGGUCAGGAUACAAGGCCUCCUUCCAUGGGGUAUAUUUCAAGGGAGGAAUGCUGCAGGUUGACUGCAAGGACGAAAAGUCAGCAAACUGGAUGAGGGAGAUCGCUCCCAAGCUGGCAGGCUGAAAUGGCCCCGUCCUCUGUACAAAGAUGAGAGGCGAUAUAACUAUAGGUUCAGCUCGGUGGUCAUGAGGCCAUACAAGCCAAAGACGACCACCGAAACCAAAACGGGGGAGAAGAUGCUGGCAGAUGAGGUUGCGACUCAGGCGCCAACUGCUGAGACCACGGUGAAGAUCUCCACUGAGAAGGCUAGCAAACAAGGGUGGGUGCAACCCACCACGCAAGAGCUCCUCGAGGGACUCUAGGACCUAGCGGGUGGCAACGCGGUGGACGGCGAAGAUGAGGACCAGUCCCUCAUGGAACCGAUCCUGUAGUGGGUCCACACACGGAAGUUGACCAGGUGAACCUGAACCACGCGGCGUCGACCUCGGCUGUCAUCGCGAGCAGGUUCACAGCGGAUAGUCUGGGCAUACUACUGAUCCAGAAGCACUGGAUAUAUAAAGCAGAGGUCAGAGGCCUCAAAUGGGAGUUAAGAGUUUCUAACACAAGACCUGGUCCCUGUACAGGCUAAAAACAAUGAAGCAGCGGACUUUGUUCUGGCAGCGGCCUACUUUUCGAGGGACGCACUAGCAGCACCCCCAGAGGCUGUCAGUAACCUGGUGGAAUACUGCAGAAGGAAUAACCUGCCCCUCGUCCUAGGAUGCGAUGCCAACGCCCAUUAUACGGAAUGGGGCAGCACGGACUGCAAUACACGGGAAAAUGAUACCCUUAAUCUUUUUAAUAUUAAUUGUUCAAACAAUGGCGGACAUCGUGGACUAUACAAGAGAGGAUUAUGUCUUAUUAGAGGACCGAGACUUAGCUUUAUAUAAUGAAUAUGGCGACAUUUUUCACAAUAAUAAUUUAACUUAUUUUAGAGAACUUAUAAAUUCAGACAAAAGUUAUAGUAAUAAGAAAUACAGAUAUAAUAAUUCACAAGGGAAUAAUUAAAAUGAGGUAGUAUUUAAUUCUUUUCAAACUAAUAAUUCUUUUCAAACUUUUUAAAGAAAAACUUACACACUCACCACCUUUCGCUUUUAGUACAAUUAUAAUUUUAUUUAUAAAUGAAAUUACGGGUUUUAAUCACUCCCUUAAUACUACAAUCACUUGCGACCCAGCGCAGAGAAAAAAAAA